CCGAUAUUCAGUUUUCGGAAUUGCAACUUUUCGAGAUGCUGUCCACCACUUCUCAAAUUGCGGCAUUUUGAUUUUUCGGGAUUAUGCAGACGUAAUCUUAAAAUCUACAUAUGAUGACCUAUGUAGAUGGCUUGUAGUAGAAUUGUGCCCUGCUAUAGGCCAUCUGAAGAGGCGUAAAUUAUCCUUGAGAGCGUCGAAGUAGCGUCAAAAUUUCCUCUCGGGAGGGAACGUUUCGGGCGGAAUAUCGAGCGAGCAAAUGUCGACGUUCGGGAAACGCGGGAGCAGAGAAAGGCGAGAGAGGAGAACUCGGCUGGUUUUUAUCAUCGCGCUUCCUCCCUAACGAUCUUCUCAUCCGUUCGAGGGGCCAGCGGGUUUGAAGCAGAAUGGGGAAGGAAGCCAACGUGGAGCAGCGAGUAAACGGGAACGAACGGACGUCGAAAAAGUUGCGACGGUUGUUUUCUCAUACGACACAGACCUCCUAGGGACGUCGUAAGGGCGUGCAGAUGACGUUCUACGUCCUGAGAACGUAAUCUCGGGCACUGAGAUUCUUUUCAUCGCAACAGUGGAUAGCUGAAUAGCGCGCGCCCGUGUUGUAUUAGUUGAUAAAAAAUGUUACAAUCAUCGCAUUGAA
This is a long non-coding RNA of Dinoponera quadriceps, 631 nucleotides long. RefSeq lists it as uncharacterized. The transcript is spliced from 3 exons. The record is from RefSeq and is a predicted model, not a curated record. NCBI's taxonomy places the organism in Eukaryota, Metazoa, Arthropoda, Insecta, Hymenoptera, Formicidae.